AGCGAACGCUGGCGGCAGGCCUAACACAUGCAAGUCGAGCGCCCAGCAAUGGGAGCGGCAGACGGGAGAGUAACACGUGGGAACGUGCCCUUUGGUUCGGGAUAACUCAGGGAAACUUGAGCUAAUACCGGAUAAGCCCUUACGGGGAAAGAUUUAUUGCCAAAGGAGCGGCCCGCGUCCGAUUAGCUAGUUGGUGAGGUAAUGGCUCACCAAGGCGACGAUCGGUAGCUGGUCUGAGAGGAUGACCAGCCUCAUUGGGACUGAGACACGGCCCAAACUCCUACGGGAGGCAGCAGUGGGGAAUAUUGGACAAUGGGGGAAACCCUGAUCCAGCCAUGCCGCGUGAGUGAUGAAGGCCUUAGGGUUGUAAAGCUCUUUUAGCAGGGAAGAUAAUGACGGUACCUGCAGAAAAAGCCCCGGCUAACUUCGUGCCAGCAGCCGCAGUAAAAC
Molecule: ribosomal RNA, 450 nt
Filed under: uncultured bacterium
Lineage: Bacteria
Description: bacterial SSU rRNA
Rfam family: Bacterial small subunit ribosomal RNA
Source: RNAcentral